This 617-nucleotide unclassified non-coding RNA is filed under the name uncultured Paenibacillus sp. RNAcentral describes it as "partial contains 16S ribosomal RNA, 16S-23S ribosomal RNA intergenic spacer, and 23S ribosomal RNA". The stretch from base 1 to 186 matches the Rfam family "Bacterial small subunit ribosomal RNA", at positions 1348 to 1533 of the family's 1533-position model. The record is from RNAcentral. Lineage: Bacteria; Bacillati; Bacillota; Bacilli; Caryophanales; Paenibacillaceae.
UCCAGCAGCCGCGGUAAUACGUUCCCGGGUCUUGUACACACCGCCCGUCACACCACGAGAGUUUACAACACCCGAAGCCGGUGGGGUAACCCGCAAGGGAGCUAGCCGUCGAAGGUGGGGUAGAUGAUUGGGGUGAAGUCGUAACAAGGUAGCCGUAUCGGAAGGUGCGGCUGGAUCACCUCCUUUCUAAGGAAAUACCCGAUCACGAGGAUGAUCGGAUAAAUUGUGCGGAUAAAGGCGCGUUAAGCGCUAGACGUGAAGACCAUUUGUUCAGCUUUGAUGGAAUUUGCUUGGGGCCAUAGCUCAGCUGGGAGAGCGCCUGCCUUGCAAGCAGGAGGUCAGCGGUUCGAUCCCGCUUGGCUCCACCAACAAUUUCUCAUCAAUUGCACCUUGAAAACUGGGUAACGAAAGAAAAGAAUUGCUGAAACAUCCUUUAGCAACCAUGAUUUAUGCGAGUGAAGGUUGUUCGAGAUUGCAGCGACUUUACAGUCUUUAUUUCUACCUCUAACGGGGUUAUUGUUCAAGAAAUCAAGCUGUAACGGCGAGGCAAGCCGAAUCAACCGGAACGUUAGGUUAAGCUAUUAAGAGCGCACGGAGGAUACCUAGGCACACAGAGA